UACGGAGGAUCCAAGCGUUAUCCGGAAUCAUUGGGUUUAAAGGGUCCGUAGGCGGGACAAUCAGUCAGCGGUGAAAGUCUGUGGCUCAACCAUAGAAUUGCCAUUGAUACUGUUGUUCUUGAAUACUUAUGAAGUGGUUGGAAUAUGUAGUGUAGCGGUGAAAUGCAUAGAUAUUACAUAGAACACCGAUUGCGAAGGCAGAUCACUAAUAAUUUAUUGACGCUGAUGGACGAAAGCGUAGGUAGCGAACAGG
This 253-nucleotide ribosomal RNA is filed under the name uncultured bacterium. RNAcentral's name for it is "partial 16S ribosomal RNA". It matches the Rfam family "Bacterial small subunit ribosomal RNA", at positions 524 to 776 of the family's 1533-position model. The record is from RNAcentral.